AUGAGGCAAUCCGGCUCCACUUCCCGCCCUCAGCAAAUCAAGGCCUCCAAAAGCCCUAGCAAGGAAUCUGUAAGUGAUGCUCGGACAACUGAAUCAAUUUGCUCUGCUGUCCAGCACUAUGCAUGGUGCAUAUCAGUUUCAGUUAAGGAUAUGUACGCCGACUGCCAGAAGGGUGAUCCUUCGACAGUAAUUUUUGUUGUCAACCGCGUCAACAUACCGAAGUAUGUAUCAUCAAGGAGUUAUGCCACCAACCCAUGGUUCGCAGGCCGGCCAGUCGUUCCAACAUCAACUACUACCGUUGAACUUCUUGAUUCCCACUUCCAAUCGCUGUCUGCACAGCACCUUGCCAGAACUCGAUAG
Molecule: ribosomal RNA, 360 nt
Filed under: Triticum aestivum (bread wheat)
Lineage: Eukaryota; Viridiplantae; Streptophyta; Magnoliopsida; Poales; Poaceae
Description: partial small subunit ribosomal RNA
Source: RNAcentral